RNAcentral lists this long non-coding RNA (826 nucleotides) under Brachypodium distachyon (stiff brome). RNAcentral describes it as "long non-coding RNA (BDIS_LNC003015)". Lineage: Eukaryota; Viridiplantae; Streptophyta; Magnoliopsida; Poales; Poaceae. The record is from RNAcentral.
ACCUGGGAUUUAUAGCUAGCAUAGAAGUACGAGUAAUAUUCCUGAUGCAACUAAUAAAACAUCUAGUGCAUAGUAAAAUAUUUAGGAGAAUGAUCAAAGUGAACUUGCCUUGUCCAAGGUUGUGGUAGUUCUCGCACUCUUCGCAACAACAAUGAUUACACUCCACACAAUCUAAAUAAAAGGAACACACACAAUAAACACAACAUUCAAUACGAAAACCAUGCCAUGAUGCAUAUGCUAUGCUGAUGCACACAAAGGUUACCUCUAAGGUAAGAAGCUUCGUUUCUGUUUUGAAAAGUUAUUUUUCAAAUGGUUUGGACAGAUUAUACAACAUCAAAGUGGUAAUUAAUAUGCAAGAAACAUGGAUAGGGUUUAAAACAAAAGAUUGUGCGGCUUUUGUAACAUAGAGCAAUAUUUAACUUGUAUGCCAUGAUUAUACACAAUAUAAUUUCUUUUCUGGUCCUAAUGUACAGAGAACAAGUUUAAAUAAUUUUACAGCAAUAUAACAUGCUCAAAACUAUUUUGAAACAAUUCAUUUGGAAUUUAAACCAUAAACCACCAUUCUGUAAAUAGCUACUGUCUAAGUUAUUUAAAACUGAAAAUAAACAGUGCCAAAAUAUUCUAUACGUUGUGACGAUUCCAGAAAGGUGUGGAUCGUAAAUUUUGGACAAACGGUUUAAAAGAUAUGGGGUUUUGAAGUUGUAGGAGCUUUUCUGCAAAAUUGCAUUAUCCAAUCCGGCCGAAUUAAAAUAAAAUAAAAUAAAACAAAAUCUCGCCACGUGGCGAAACCUGACUGGCCCGGUUCUAGGGUUCCGGCCGGCGGACG